GUGCUCUCGGUGGCGUCUCUGCUAUAUGGGACUGAAAACUGGAUGCAAAUGGGUAUACAGGUCCUUGUAUCUGAUCCACGGGAACUGCAGAAGAUAUGUAGGAGGUUGUUCAUUUUCUCGAUAUUAUACUGAUUUUUUUGUGAUCUCCCAAAGGAAUUUGCAAUGCGUGUGCUCUAUUGUCAUGCUCGAAUCUGAAUAACAAAGGAGCGAAUUGAGAAAGUUCUCAAGGCCGGUGCUAAUGUUGUAUUUACCACUGGGGCGUAGCCAGCACCUCCAGAUGCUUAGUCACUAAAAGACGAGGAAAUGGAUCCUCGAUGUUUUUGCGAAGCAGAUUUUGUCAGCUGUGGCAUGUUCACCAGCUGCGGCAUUAAUAAGUCCUACAACAUUUGGCUAGGUGAUGGAGAAUCACUGCUGAAGGUGAUAUUGCAUGCUGAAGGUGAUAUUGCAGGCACCAUCAUGGCCACAUCGAAGGUCCUAAGCUCUAGAUACGCAAAAACAGCCCCAACCAGAGUUCAGGCCACCAAGGUUGUGCAGUAGCUGGCCCAUCUCGUGCAGCGAUCAUGUGUACACGGGGUCCUCGGUGGCGGUGGUAAUUCUCUCCCGCAUGGGGAUUCCAGUAACUAUUAGUUAUACAGGAAUAUGUACAUUUCCCACGUGUUUUCUAUUUGAGGAGAGGUGGUCACAUGAUUUAUGCUCAUACUAUUCUGCCAUAAAUCUUUUGUUUUUGUCCAUGUGCAAAGAAUAAGGAAAAGGAUCAAUGACAGUCUCUGCCUUUGUAGGAGCUGGUUACGCCCAAUACUAUUCUACCAUAAGUCCAGAUUUGUGCCGAUUUUGAUUCAACAAAGAUUACAUAUAUCCUUACCUGCACCCAUGUCUCCUCGUCCUCUCCUCUUCCAACCUCUCCUCGGGGGCGAUGAGAGGUCCUGGAGGUGGUGAUGCGGAAGAGCAUCGGAAUCUUGGAGGAGAUGCAGCCCAGGUGAAUGGUGUUGGUUGUCUGCUCCCAUUACGCCUCCCUUCCUCAACUACAGACAUGCUGGUAUUCCUCUCCUCUCUCCUGGUCCCUGCUUUGGCUUGUAUUUUUGCUAUGGAUAUUGUGGUGUAGCGAGAAUGGGAGGAGAGUGGGAUUGGAACGCUGACUUCAUCUACUUGGUAAGCAUUUGAUAUUUCUCUGGAUCAUUUUCUGUCCAUAUACAAAUAUAGAAAAUUUAUGUAUGCCUAUAUCCAACUAUUUAGUACUUAAGUUGGUGGUCCUCAAGAGGAUCUUAAAGAAAACUUGUUUGUGGAUUCCGAUACCAUGUUUUACUCGUUUUAAUCUUACCAUUUGAGGUGACGACGGCGGCUGCAUAGCGCGCACCGAGCGGUGGCGGUGGCUGGGAGUGUGCACCGAGAGUUGGUGGGUUGCUGGCCACGGCAGCAGCGGUGGCUGGGAGCGCGCCCCCGAGGAUAACAGACUGUUCCAUCUUUUGGUGCAAGCACUUCUAGGUACUCGUUUUGUAUCCUUGACAGAAAUUUCUUUCAGAUUUUGUAAAAUUGUUUUUAUUAUGUAUACCAAAUGCAUUUCUGUAGCUUCAGCAAAAUGAGUUAAUGUUCUAUAAAACCAAUGCAUCUCUUUAGCUACAGGAGACUAAUGAAUAACAAAAGAUUUUAUUAUCCUUGUUUCCUCAUGCAUUAUUUCACUAGAUUUUGUUAUUCUCAUUAGUUGCUCUGAUAGAUAAAAGUCCAGAAUAUGAACAACAAUUGAAAUGAUGGCAUAUUGGCAUAUGAAAAGGAAGCUGAAAACUAGAUUUAGAUGAUAUUUUGUCUUGUAUACACAAUUCAUGCUUGAUUGCUAAUUAUUUAUCUCCUUAUAGGGCGGUAAGAGUAGUAAACAAAUGAGUACAAUCAUACAAAUAAUGUCGUGUCCAUUUGUUUAUUGUUCUAGAUGAAAAAUAGGCUUCAUUUCAUAACACUGUAAUGUUGUUUACAUCUUGAAGCCAGAACCCAAUAGUUCCAGCAACCCUUGCCUUAUGGGAAAGGUCAUAUGUGUUGUCCCUUCUUACCCGAAUCUGAGAAAAUCGAGAAGGUCCAGGUGAUCUAUGAGGCUACGAGAGGUGUAUUGAAGAACAUUUUAUGGCACACCCUAUAUUAAAAGAGCGCAUUGAUUCAGAAUUCUGUUUCUUCAUAGUCAUUACGUGAGUUUAGUAUCAUAACUUAUC
Lolium perenne is the source of this 2195-nucleotide non-coding RNA. The record is from RefSeq and is a predicted model, not a curated record. NCBI's taxonomy places the organism in Eukaryota, Viridiplantae, Streptophyta, Magnoliopsida, Poales, Poaceae.